AUGGAUUCUGAAGACAGGGUGGAAAGCUGCUUUCUUGAGGACUCUGAGGACCUGCGGCGCAUGGAGAGAGACCUCUCGCGCGCGGUCGUGGUCACCAUUCUGGGGACUAGGCCGCCGGUGGAUCUCGCUGCGGCGGCGGAGGCCCUGCACGCAGAAUUUGGCAUUGGGCCAAAUGACAUGUCCAUUCGCCCCUUCUUUCCGGAGGAUUUCUUGGUUCUAUGUGAGCAUCAAAUUAUUUGGCAGCUGAUGGUGGAUAGGGGACGUGCUCCGGGGCGUGGCUUCACACUCUCGCUGCGGCCAUGGACGCGUCUAGCUCAAGGUACGGGCGCUGUGUUGCCUUUCCUCGUCCCGCUCCGGCUGGUGGGCGUGCCCGCGCAUGCUUGGACAAGGCGGACGGCGGAGGUGGUCCUGCGUGGCCUUGGUUUCGUGGUUCAGGUGGCGGAGAGGACGGCCAGGCGAUUCGACAUGGUUGGCUUUCAGGUCUGGCUCAAGACUGCGGAUCCCGACCGAAUCCCGCAGAGAAGAAUGCUCUUCAUCCAGGAGCCGGCUGGUAUUGUGGAGGGCGCGCCGGAAGCCCUGUGGUACCCUGUCCAAAUCUUCAAAAUGGCGCCGCCUGUCAGGGUUGGAUCCACGGCGACCGGGGCUCCGCCGCCACCUCCGCCACCACCACCGCCUCCGUCCGGUGAGGAUUCGUGUGAUCAGUUUGACAGCAGAGGGUAUGAUGCUAAUCGUGGGCAUGAUGCGCCGUUGAGCUCGGGUUUCAAUGGAGGCGAAUCACAUGGAUCUACGUCGGAGUCUUCGCCGGCGGCCACUUAG
RNAcentral lists this ribosomal RNA (816 nucleotides) under Triticum aestivum (bread wheat). RNAcentral's name for it is "partial small subunit ribosomal RNA". The record is from RNAcentral. Lineage: Eukaryota; Viridiplantae; Streptophyta; Magnoliopsida; Poales; Poaceae.